RNAcentral lists this ribosomal RNA (932 nucleotides) under Lactiplantibacillus plantarum. RNAcentral's name for it is "bacterial SSU rRNA". It matches the Rfam family "Bacterial small subunit ribosomal RNA", at positions 378 to 1304 of the family's 1533-position model. The record is from RNAcentral. Lineage: Bacteria; Bacillati; Bacillota; Bacilli; Lactobacillales; Lactobacillaceae.
AGAGUCUGAUGGAGCACGCCGCGUGAGUGAAGAAGGGUUUCGGCUCGUAAAACUCUGUUGUUAAAGAAGAACAUAUCUGAGAGUAACUGUUCAGGUAUUGACGGUAUUUAACCAGAAAGCCACGGCUAACUACGUGCCAGCAGCCGCGGUAAUACGUAGGUGGCAAGCGUUGUCCGGAUUUAUUGGGCGUAAAGCGAGCGCAGGCGGUUUUUUAAGUCUGAUGUGAAAGCCUUCGGCUCAACCGAAGAAGUGCAUCGGAAACUGGGAAACUUGAGUGCAGAAGAGGACAGUGGAACUCCAUGUGUAGCGGUGAAAUGCGUAGAUAUAUGGAAGAACACCAGUGGCGAAGGCGGCUGUCUGGUCUGUAACUGACGCUGAGGCUCGAAAGUAUGGGUAGCAAACAGGAUUAGAUACCCUGGUAGUCCAUACCGUAAACGAUGAAUGCUAAGUGUUGGAGGGUUUCCGCCCUUCAGUGCUGCAGCUAACGCAUUAAGCAUUCCGCCUGGGGAGUACGGCCGCAAGGCUGAAACUCAAAGGAAUUGACGGGGGCCCGCACAAGCGGUGGAGCAUGUGGUUUAAUUCGAAGCUACGCGAAGAACCUUACCAGGUCUUGACAUACUAUGCAAAUCUAAGAGAUUAGACGUUCCCUUCGGGGACAUGGAUACAGGUGGUGCAUGGUUGUCGUCAGCUCGUGUCGUGAGAUGUUGGGUUAAGUCCCGCAACGAGCGCAACCCUUAUUAUCAGUUGCCAGCAUUAAGUUGGGCACUCUGGUGAGACUGCCGGUGACAAACCGGAGGAAGGUGGGGAUGACGUCAAAUCAUCAUGCCCCUUAUGACCUGGGCUACACACGUGCUACAAUGGAUGGUACAACGAGUUGCGAACUCGCGAGAGUAAGCUAAUCUCUUAAAGCCAUUCUCAGUUCGGAUUGUAGC